GACGAACGCUGGCGGCGUGCUUAACACAUGCAAGUCGAACGGAAAGGCCCUGAUUUUGUGGGGUGCUCGAGUGGCGAACGGGUGAGUAACACGCGAGUAACCUGCCCUUGACUUUGGGAUAACUUCAGGAAACUGGGGCUAAUACCGGAUAGGAGCUCCUGCUGCAUGGUGGGGGUUGGAAAGUUUCGGCGGUUGGGGCUGGACUCGCGGCUUAUCAGCUUGUUGGUGGGGUAGUGGCUGACCAAGUCUUUGACGGGUAGGCGGCCUGAGAGGGUGACCGGCGACAUGGGGACUGAGAUACGGCCCAGACGCCUACGGGAGGCAGCAGUGGGGAAUAUUGCACAAUGGGCGGAAGCCUGAGGCAGCAACGCCGCGUGCGGGAUGACGGCCUUCUGGGUGUAAACCGCUGUCGCCUGUGACGAAGCGUGAGUGACGGUAAUGGGUAAAGAAGCACCGGCUAACUACGUG
RNAcentral lists this ribosomal RNA (468 nucleotides) under uncultured bacterium. RNAcentral's name for it is "partial 16S ribosomal RNA". It matches the Rfam family "Bacterial small subunit ribosomal RNA", at positions 28 to 507 of the family's 1533-position model. The record is from RNAcentral.